UGAAGUCUUCAGGGCAGGGAUAGUUUCCCUACCGGUGGUAUAGCCCACGAGCCGCAAGGUAUGAUUCGGUGUAAUUCCGAGGCCGACAGUUAAAGUCUGGAUGAAAGAAGAUAAUA
RNAcentral lists this non-coding RNA (116 nucleotides) under Acetobacterium wieringae. RNAcentral describes it as "FMN sequence". It matches the Rfam family "FMN riboswitch aptamer (RFN element)". Rfam says of the family: The RFN element is a highly conserved domain that is found frequently in the 5'-untranslated regions of prokaryotic mRNAs that encode for flavin mononucleotide (FMN) biosynthesis and transport proteins. This element is a metabolite-dependent riboswitch that directly binds FMN in the absence of proteins. In Bacillus subtilis, the riboswitch most likely controls gene expression by causing premature transcription termination within the 5' untranslated region of the ribDEAHT operon and precluding access to the ribosome-binding site of ypaA mRNA. The record is from RNAcentral. Lineage: Bacteria; Bacillati; Bacillota; Clostridia; Eubacteriales; Eubacteriaceae.